UGAAUACGAGAUGCUACGGCGUCGAAGCAGUCUAUGUCAUACUUCCAAGAAAAGCUUGCACUGUCAUAAACAAAUAAUGCCUGUACCAUAACCGACACAGGUGGGUAGGUAGAGUAUACUAAGGGGCGCGAGAUAACUCUCUCUAAGGAACUCGGCAAAAUGACUCCGUAACUUCGGGAGAAGGAGUGCCUUAUUUAUAAGGUUGCAAUAACAAGAUCCAAGCAACUGUUUACCAAAAACACAGGUCUCCGCUAAGUCGUAAGACGAUGUAUGGGGGCUGACGCCUGCCCAGUGCCAGAAGGUUAAAGAAGUUGGUUAGCAUCCGCGAAGCUGAUAACUGAAGCCCUGGUGAACGGCGGCCGUAACGAUAACGGUCUUAAGGUAGCGAAAUUCCUUGUCGGGUAAGUUCCGACCCGCACGAAAGGCGUAAUGAUUUGGAUACUGUCUCGGAGAGGGGCUCGGUGAAAUAGACUUGUCUGUGAAGAUGCGGACUACCUGCACCAGGACAGAAAGACCCUAUGAAGCUUUACUGUAACCUGAAAUUGAAAUUGGACUUUACUUGCGCAGUAUAGGUGGGAGGCGUUGAGAAUAUUCUUGCGGGAUUAUUGGAGCCAUCAGUGAGAUACCACUCUUGUAAUGUUAGAUUUCUAACUUUGUAUCAUUAUCUGGUCAAAGAACAGUUUCAGGCGGGCAGUUUGACUGGGGCGGUCGCCUCCUAAACGGUAACGGAGGCGCACAAAGGUUUCCUCUGAACGGGUAGAAAUCGUAUCUAGAGUGUAAAGGCAUAAGGAAGCUUGACUGUGAGACCUACAAGUCGAGCAGGGACGAAAGUCGGUCUUAGUGAUCUGACGGUGCUGUGUGGAAAGGCCGUCACUCAACGGAUAAAAGUUACUCUAGGAUAACAGGCUGAUCUCCCCCAAGAGUUCACAUCGACGGGGAGGUUUGGCACCUCGAUGUCGGCUCAUCGCAUCCUGGGGCGGUAGUACGUCCCAAGGGUUGGGCUGUUCGCCCAUGAAAGCGGUACGCGAGCUGGGUUCAGAACGUCGUGAGACAGUUCGGUCCAUAUCCGGUGGAGGCGUUAGAAUAUUGAGAGGAGCCUUCUUUAGUACGAGAGGACCGAGAAGGACAUACCUCUGGUGUACCAGUUAUCGUGCCAACGGUAAACGCUGGGUAGCUAUGUGUGGAGUGGAUAACCGCUGAAAGCAUCUAAGUGGGAAGCCCACCUCAAGAUAAGUAUUCU
This 1240-nucleotide ribosomal RNA is filed under the name metagenome. Its description in RNAcentral is "bacterial LSU rRNA". It matches the Rfam family "Bacterial large subunit ribosomal RNA", at positions 1564 to 2814 of the family's 2925-position model. The record is from RNAcentral.